This 711-nucleotide long non-coding RNA is filed under the name Ananas comosus (pineapple). Its description in RNAcentral is "long non-coding RNA (ACOM_LNC015806)". Lineage: Eukaryota; Viridiplantae; Streptophyta; Magnoliopsida; Poales; Bromeliaceae. The record is from RNAcentral.
AGUAAAUUAGCAACAAAAACCAUAAUCUAUUUAUUAUUAUUAACUACAUUAAAAGAGGGUUUGGGAGACCUUAGAGUGACACGUGUCCCGCCAACCCUCCUCUUCUCUCUCCUUCUACACACACACACUAUAAUACAAAAUUUAAAAUUUUGAUAUUUUUAAAUUUUAAAGUUUUAAAUUUUAAAUUUAAUACUUAAUAUUUUAAAUUAUAAUAUUUAUUUCCAAAUUUUAAACUUUUCAAAUUUUAAAAUUUUAAAUCUCUAAAUUCUAAUAAUACGCGUAAUAAAUCGCGUAAUAAAAUCUAACCUAAUAAAUACAAUUUAAAUUACAUAAAAUAUCGCUGUAUAAAAAAUAUAUAAAAUUUAAAUUUCAGGACUAAAAUUUUAGAUAUAUAGUGCAUAUGUGUAUAUAUAUAAUUAAUUUUAUUAAAUAAUUUUUUUACAACUUUUUUUUUUAUUUAUUGGUUUUCUUAAAUUAUUUUGAUAGAUUUAUCUCAAAUUUUUUUCAUAUAAAUUUUAUAAAAUAAAUUAUUGUAUAAAUUUACUUUGCGCAUAAUUAUUUUUAUAUAAUUUUUUAUUUAAUUAAUAAUUAGACUUAUAAAACUAUAUAAAAAUAUUAAAAAAUAUAUAAUUUAUUAUAAAAAUAAUUUUAUAUCCGCAGCAUCGUGCGGGUAAUUCACUAGUAUAUAAUUAAAGGAAACCAAGAAAGAAG